RNAcentral lists this ribosomal RNA (305 nucleotides) under uncultured bacterium. RNAcentral's name for it is "bacterial SSU rRNA". It matches the Rfam family "Bacterial small subunit ribosomal RNA", at positions 338 to 635 of the family's 1533-position model. The record is from RNAcentral.
CCUACGGGGGGCAGCAGUAGGGAAUCUUCCACAAUGGGCGAAAGCCUGAUGGAGCAACGCCGCGUGGGUGAAGGAGGUCUUCAGAUCGUAAAACCCUGUUGUUAGAGAAGAAAGUGCGUGAGAGUAACUGUUCACGUUUCGACGGUAUCUAACCAGAAAGCCACGGCUAACUACGUGCCAGCAGCCGCGGUAAUACGUAGGUGGCAAGCGUUAUCCGGAUUUAUUGGGCGUAAAGGGAACGCAGGCGGUCUUUUAAGUCUGAUGUGAACGGCGCGGGCUCAACCCGCGGGCGGCACAUGAUACGG